CUAAAAGCACUACGUCAUUGUUUGUUGAUUUUCUCGAAAUAAGAUCAUUCAAAUUAAAACUUCCUACUAAUUCGAUCAGUUUGUGAUGUAGUAAACAAAAACAGUUUUCACACAUACAAACUUACGUCGGUCCAUCCAACCAAUGAAGUUGACAACAGCUUUGAACCAACUAGAGGUGUGAAAAUUGUCACACACCUGUAGCUCUGUUAUAAACAGUCUUGUGUAGCAACGCAGCCCCAUAAUGAACGCCAAACGGGAGGCACUUUGUUCUCAACGUAGGCCAUUGCGCGAUGACCUACAUAGUAAAAUACACACCGACGGGUGAGAGUAAUCGUCACCGAUGAUGUAAUAGUUUCGAGAUGUCAUAAAAUGCAUAAAACUGCUCUGCUAAUGCUAAUUAAGACAAUUCAAUAGAAUAAAAUAGUUUUUCAUUGAUAUUGUCCGUGAAUAGUCCGUUUUUCAUUGAUAUUGCCCGUGAAUAGUGAAACAUUUCUUUUGAAUCAAAGUUUAUGAAAAUCGCUCUUUCUGGACAAAUUCGACAGACUUUUGUUAUAUUACAGAAGGAAUCAUAAUCGGAAUUCGUCGGAACUUCUCUACAUACGACACUUGAGUUGCGUUUUUUCGUAUACGCUAAAUUUAAUUCCGCAGUUUUUUUUUUGCAAAAACGUAUGCUAAAUCAAUAUAAAUAACCAAUAUUUCGUGUGGAACAUGAGGUAGCUUAUUCUUUAAUAGUUUGCUUGUUGUUAUCCUAUGUAUAUGAAUACCUUCCACAACUUAUCUAGACAAUCUUAGGGAAGACUAUAUUAGGACCGAUAUAGAACUGGGAAUAACAUAAAGUGGUAUCCAAGGUUUUCGAUCAGGACGAAGGCAUAAGUACCCAGAAGUCUGAUAACCGAAGGACAACCUGCACAGUUAAUGUGAGUCACAGAAGAUAGAUUUUCACACUGCGAUGCAUGAAUUUUAUUUUACAAAAUUAUGCCUAUUUUAUCUGGACGAUCAGUCCAACGCUAGUUUUCAUUACAGAAUUCUGUAAAUAAAUAUAUAAUAUAUACGGUAAAUUUGAAAAGUCACCGUGUACGAUAAAAAUCAUACCGUCAGCAUGGCAGAAUUAACUUCGAAUUACCGAACUUCUAUAAAUACUGAUUGUUAUGAAAACUAAUAAUAGAACAAUUAUUAACAUUUUUAGUAAGUGUCGAAAAAAUUUUCGCCGGUGGUCAUCGAAUGGAUUCAGGUAUA
Molecule: long non-coding RNA, 1236 nt
Organism: Malaya genurostris
Lineage: Eukaryota; Metazoa; Arthropoda; Insecta; Diptera; Culicidae
Exons: 3
Source: RefSeq, a predicted model, not a curated record